RNAcentral lists this ribosomal RNA (431 nucleotides) under uncultured bacterium. RNAcentral describes it as "partial 16S ribosomal RNA". It matches the Rfam family "Bacterial small subunit ribosomal RNA", at positions 29 to 507 of the family's 1533-position model. The record is from RNAcentral.
AACGAACGCUGGCGGCAGGCUUAACACAUGCAAGUCGAGCGCCCCGCCAGGGGAGCGGCCGACGGGUGCGUAACGCGUGGGAACGUACCUUUUGGUUCGGAACAACUCCGGGAAACUGGAGCUAAUACCGGAUAAGCCCUAACGGGGAAAGAUUUAUCGCCGAAAGAUCGGCCCGCGUCUGAUUAGCUAGUUGGUGAGGUAACGGCUCACCAAGGCGACGAUCAGUAGCUGGUCUGAGAGGAUGAUCAGCCACACUGGGACUGAGACACGGCCCAGACUCCUACGGGAAGCAGCAGUGGGGAAUAUUGGACAAUGGGCGCAAGCCUGAUCCAGCCAUGCCGCGUGAGUGAUGAAGGCCUUAGGGUUGUAAAGCUCUUUUGUCCGGGAAGAUAAUGACGGUACCGGAAGAAUAAGCCCCGGCUAACUUCGUG